Molecule: transfer RNA, 70 nt
Filed under: Chascolytrum erectum
Lineage: Eukaryota; Viridiplantae; Streptophyta; Magnoliopsida; Poales; Poaceae
Description: partial tRNA-Phe
Rfam family: tRNA (bases 9-70)
About the family: Transfer RNA (tRNA) molecules are approximately 80 nucleotides in length.
Source: RNAcentral
AAGAAAAGGUCAGGAUAGCUCAGUUGGUAGAGCAGAGGACUGAAAAUCCUCGUGUCNCCNAGUUCAAAUA